AUUGAACGCUGGCGGCAGGCCUAACACAUGCAAGUCGAGCGGAUGAAGGGAGCUUGCUCCUGGAUUCAGCGGCGGACGGGUGAGUAAUGCCUAGGAAUCUGCCUGGUAGUGGGGGAUAACGUCCGGAAACGGGCGCUAAUACCGCAUACGUCCUGAGGGAGAAAGUGGGGGAUCUUCGGACCCCACGCUAUCAGAUGAGCCUAGGUCGGAUUAGCUAGUUGGUGGGGCAAAGGCCUACCAAGGCGACGAUCCGUAACUGGUCUGAGAGGAUGAUCAGUCACACUGGAACUGAGACACGGUCCAGACUCCUACGGGAGGCAGCAGUGGGGAAUAUUGGACAAUGGGCGAAAGCCUGAUCCAGCCAUGCCGCGUGUGUGAAGAAGGUCUUCGGAUUGUAAAGCACUUUAAGUUGGGAGGAAGGGCAGUAAGUUAAUACCUUGCUGUUUUGACGUUACCAACAGAAUAAGCACCGGCUAACUUCGUG
RNAcentral lists this ribosomal RNA (484 nucleotides) under uncultured bacterium. RNAcentral describes it as "partial 16S ribosomal RNA". It matches the Rfam family "Bacterial small subunit ribosomal RNA", at positions 30 to 507 of the family's 1533-position model. The record is from RNAcentral.